This 468-nucleotide ribosomal RNA is filed under the name uncultured bacterium. Its description in RNAcentral is "partial 16S ribosomal RNA". It matches the Rfam family "Bacterial small subunit ribosomal RNA", at positions 28 to 507 of the family's 1533-position model. The record is from RNAcentral.
GACGAACGCUGGCGGCGUGCUUAACACAUGCAAGUCGAACGGAAAGGCCCUGCUUUUGUGGGGUGCUCGAGUGGCGAACGGGUGAGUAACACGUGAGUAACCUGCCCUUGACUUUGGGAUAACUUCAGGAAACUGGGGCUAAUACCGGAUAGGAGCUCCUGCUGCAUGGUGGGGGUUGGAAAGUUUCGGCGGUUGGGGAUGGACUCGCGGCUUAUCAGCUUGUUGGGGGGGUAGUGGCUUACCAAGGCUUUGACGGGUAGGCGGCCUGAGAGGGUGGCCGGCCACCUUGGGCCUGCGGUACGGCCCAGACUCGUACGGGCGGCAGCAGUGGGGAAUAUUGCACAAUGGGCGGACGCCUGAUGCAGCAACGCCGCGUGCGGGAUGCCGGCCUUCGGGUGGUAAACCGCUUUCGCCUGUGACGAAGAGUGAGUGACGGUAAUGGGUAAAGAAGCACCGGCUAACUACGUG